CAACUGUUCUCAGGUCAAAAGAUACAAGUACAGUGCCAGGAAACAAACCUUUCAAACCUUACAUGCCGUCACCAAAAAGUGAGCCAAAAUCCAGACGUGGUAGUAAUGAUUAUGAGGCUAAUUACAACAACAUGGAAGAACUCGACAUCUAUGAAAAUGACCGAUAAACAUUCUAGACAUCAAAACAACCAAAAUGUGCUUAUUGAAGGGUUGUCGAAUUGAUUACUAAUGUUUUAAAAUAGCUCAGAUAAAAUAGCUUUUUAUGCAUGCUAAAUAUCACAUUUAAGCUUAGAGUAAUCUUCUACAGUCUACCUAUAGGCUUUAGAUAAUAUAUACUAGACUAUACAUCAUUGAAUGUAUCAUUACAAAUUGAGCUUGUGUUAAAGAAAAUACUUUUGCAUCUGAGUUUUAAAUAUCCUACAGUUGAAUCCUAUUUAAUUGUAUUGCUACAGUACAUGUUGUAUUGUGUAUCAUAUAUCACUUUUGUGAGUUAAUUGUU
Danio rerio (zebrafish) is the source of this 499-nucleotide non-coding RNA. The record is from RefSeq and is a predicted model, not a curated record. Lineage: Eukaryota; Metazoa; Chordata; Actinopteri; Cypriniformes; Danionidae.